GAAAAGCAAAAUCCAGCCCUUACUGUCAAGAGCCAUGGAGAGAGAGGAAUGGAAUGUCAAUCACCUCAUGGAGGGGCCCUUUGUCAUCCUUUCAGCACAGGACAGGAUGGUUCAAUGAGGCAGUGAACAAAUGUAUGGUAGGGAACAUGUUACUGUUGCUCCAAAAAAGAGCUGUGUAUAUUCCGGUCAGCUGCUGAAUACAGCUUAUGUGCAGGGGACAGGGGGCUUGCUGCAGCAUCAAAACAGCAGGCCACACCCUCUUGGUCUGUGUAGUUUUGGCAUGAACAUUAGCCACACCUUUCUCCUUGGAUUCAACAAAGUAUUGGGCCUGCAGGGCAUAGGGGGCGAGUUUACAACCAUUCUGAGCCUGAAUUGAUCCGAACUGGGCUAGACAAAACAGUGGAGACUUCAUUGCAGUUGUCCAGACACCUAAGGUGACAACUGAAAGUCAAAGAUGCUUUUGUGUCAGUUUAUUGAGGCAGCUUGUGAAAAGACUUCUAUCUUUUCAAACUUUUGAGAGAAAAUAUUAUUUGGAGACUCUUGGGCAAAAUUGUUAGUGUCUUUAGAAAGAAAGGAGAAUACUGGUCCUAAAUGUUUCAGUAGUUGAAAAUGUUGAGUCUUAUGUUCCUAGUUUUCUUAGGUAUUGGUCUGUAGCUUAAUAAACAUUAUCUGAUAAGGAA
Chrysemys picta bellii (western painted turtle) is the source of this 680-nucleotide non-coding RNA. Lineage: Eukaryota; Metazoa; Chordata; Testudines; Emydidae. The record is from RefSeq and is a predicted model, not a curated record.